UGCGUACCUUUUGUAUAAUGGGUCAGCGACUUAUAUUCUGUAGCAAGGUUAACCGAAUAGGGGAGCCGAAGGGAAACCGAGUCUUAACUGGGCGUUAAGUUGCAGGGUAUAGACCCGAAACCCGGUGAUCUAGCCAUGGGCAGGUUGAAGGUUGGGUAACACUAACUGGAGGACCGAACCGACUAAUGUUGAAAAAUUAGCGGAUGACUUGUGGCUGGGGGUGAAAGGCCAAUCAAACCGGGAGAUAGCUGGUUCUCCCCGAAAGCUAUUUAGGUAGCGCCUCGUGAAUUCAUCUCCGGGGGUAGAGCACUGUUUCGGCAAGGGGGUCAUCCCGACUUACCAACCCGAUGCAAACUGCGAAUACCGGAGAAUGUUAUCACGGGAGACACACGGCGGGUGCUAACGUCCGUCGUGAAGAGGGAAACAACCCAGACCGCCAGCUAAGGUCCCAAAGUCAUGGUUAAGUGGGAAACGAUGUGGGAAGGCCCAGACAGCCAGGAUGUUGGCUUAGAAGCAGCCAUCAUUUAAAGAAAGCGUAAUAGCUCACUGGUCGAGUCGGCCUGCGCGGAAGAUGUAACGGGGCUAAACCAUG
RNAcentral lists this ribosomal RNA (592 nucleotides) under Escherichia coli. RNAcentral describes it as "partial 23S ribosomal RNA". It matches the Rfam family "Bacterial large subunit ribosomal RNA", at positions 598 to 1191 of the family's 2925-position model. The record is from RNAcentral. Lineage: Bacteria; Pseudomonadati; Pseudomonadota; Gammaproteobacteria; Enterobacterales; Enterobacteriaceae. RNAcentral also lists the same sequence under 1 other name.